Molecule: ribosomal RNA, 465 nt
Filed under: Vreelandella stevensii
Lineage: Bacteria; Pseudomonadati; Pseudomonadota; Gammaproteobacteria; Oceanospirillales; Halomonadaceae
Description: partial 16S ribosomal RNA
Rfam family: Bacterial small subunit ribosomal RNA
Source: RNAcentral
CCUACGGGUGGCAGCAGUGGGGAAUAUUGGACAAUGGGGGGAACCCUGAUCCAGCCAUGCCGCGUGUGUGAAGAAGGCCCUCGGGUUGUAAAGCACUUUCAGUGAGGAAGAACGCCUGGUGGUUAAUACCCAUCAGGAAAGACAUCACUCACAGAAGAAGCACCGGCUAACUCCGUACCAGCAGCCGCGGUAAUACGGAGGGUGCGAGCGUUAAUCGGAAUUACUGGGCGUAAAGCGCGCGUAGGUGGCUUGAUAAGCCGGUUGUGAAAGCCCCGGGCUCAACCUGGGAACGGCAUCCGGAACUGUCAAGCUAGAGUGCAGGAGAGGAAGGUAGAAUUCCCGGUGUAGCGGUGAAAUGCGUAGAGAUCGGGAGGAAUACCAGUGGCGAAGGCGGCCUUCUGGACUGACACUGACACUGAGGUGCGAAAGCGUGGGUAGCAAACAGGAUUAGAUACCCGUGUAGUC